This is a long non-coding RNA of Homo sapiens (human), 1735 nucleotides long. Ensembl annotates it as long intergenic non-protein coding RNA 1005. NCBI's taxonomy places the organism in Eukaryota, Metazoa, Chordata, Mammalia, Primates, Hominidae. The record is from Ensembl.
ACGUGACACUCCUGCAUGAGCCUUGCCCUAAGGGGAUAUUUUUACAUGUUGGUGAACUCAGCAUCUAGGUGAUGUGACUCUACUCUUCUGCCUGGGCCCUGCCCACAGAGGGCAUUGGAACAUUUCACUUGGCUCAGCACCAAGAAGAUGUUACUCUCCUACCUGGACCUCUCCCACAGGGGACACCUAGAUGAUAUGAUUUUUCUUCCUGGUUCCUGCCCAGACUUCAAAUUGUGAUGUAUAUCUGGGCCCAAAACACAGGGUCCAGGCAACAGAGGAGAGACACAUCACCUAUAUGAUUGGCCCAGCGAUGGGUGAAAAUCCUCUCUGAGAGCAGGGCCCAUUCAGGAGAGUCAUAUCACCUAGCUGCUUGGCCAAGUGAAAUAUCACAAUGCACCCUUUGCACAGGGCCAAUACAGGACAGUUACAUCACCAGGGAGCUGGGUCCAGCUAUAUGUCACAAUUCCUUUUGUGGAAAGUGUCCAGGCAGAAAAGCAGAGUCACAUCACCUAGCCAGUGGGCCCAGAGAGAUGCCACAAUGCCAUUUGUAGGCUGGGCCCUGGGAGAAGAAUAACAUCACCCAGUUCUGGGCCCAGCAAUAUGUUGUGAUCCCAACUGGAAAAAGUUUCCAGACAAGAGAGGAGAAUCACAUCAUCAUGAUGAUAAGCCAAGAGAUUUCACAAUCCCCCCCUCUGCACAUGUCCCAGGCAGAAGACCUGAAUUACCUUUUUACUUAGGCCAGUAAUGUCACAGUGCUUCCUCAGGGCAGGGCACAAACAAGAUAGGACAGUCACAUCAUUAAGUGCUAGACUUAAUGCUAGAUAUGUCAUAACCUUACUUGUGGGCAGGAUCCAGGAAGGAGAGAUUUAUGUCACCUAGGUGCUCAGUAAAGAGAUAUAUUACAAUUACAAUUCCUUUGAGGGAAGUGGCCAGGCAAAAUAGUCACAUCACCUAGGUGCUUGGCCCAGGUAUAAGUCACAAGAUAUCUGUGUGUUGAGCCCAGAAGGACUAUCAAAUUACGAAGUUUCUACGUAGAAGUGCAUGUCACAGACACCUGCAGGAAGGCCCAGGAAUGAGACUCCCAAUUCCACACAUUUUCCCACUCCAAGUGUAAGAGUCAACAACUCCUGAGACUUAGGCCCAAGUACAUGAGUCACAAUCUCAACAGUGGAUUGCAUCCUGCCAUGAGAGCCCCAAUCCCUUCUCUAAGCUGUGUUCCAGUAGAGGAGUCACAACAUCAAUGGUGUGCUGAAUCCUGGUUGGAGAGUUCCCACUUCACCUGUGGACUGGAUCUGUAUAUGAGAGUCUCAAUUCCAGCUCUCAACUGCCCCUGGGUGUGAGAUUCAGGACCUCAAUUGUGAGCUGUGUACACAUGGACAUGUAACAAUUUCUACUUUUGGCUGUGUGUUCAUACAAGACUCAAUCUCAUCUGUGUUCUCGGCCCUGUUAUGACACUCUUUGUACCACCCAUGGGAUUUAUUCAAUACGCAUGGGUGUCAUAAUCCUCUGUGAUCUUCAUACAAGUAGAAGACCCAGGACCUUACCCAUGGCCCUAGGCCUAUCUAUGAGAAUUGACAUUUUUCCUCACAUUUUUAAUUUUAACAAAUAAGUUAUUCUCCUGUCAGUUCAGAUUCAUCAGGACAUUGAAUCAUAUUCAGAAGAAUUAAAACUGAAAGACUAAUAGGUUUGUUAAAGCAAUGCAGGUUGUCAUACUAAUAAACCCUAAAAUUUCAAA